AACAGGAUUAGAUACCCUGGUAGUCCACGCCGUAAACGAUGUCGACUUGGAGGUUGUUCCCUUGAGGAGUGGCUUCCGGAGCUAACGCGUUAAGUCGACCGCCUGGGGAGUACGGCCGCAAGGUUAAAACUCAAAUGAAUUGACGGGGGCCCGCACAAGCGGUGGAGCAUGUGGUUUAAUUCGAUGCAACGCGAAGAACCUUACCUACUCUUGACGUCCAGCGAACUUAGCAGAGAUGCUUUGGUGCCUUCGGGAACGCUGAGACAGGUGCUGCAUGGCUGUCGUCAGCUCGUGUUGUGAAAUGUUGGGUUAAGUCCCGCAACGAGCGCAACCCUUAUCCUUUGUUGCCAGCGAUUCGGUCGGGAACUCAAAGGAGACUGCCGGUGAUAAACCGGAGGAAGGUGGGGAUGACGUCAAGUCAUCAUGGCCCUUACGAGUAGGGCUACACACGUGCUACAAUGGCGCAUACAAAGAGAAGCGACCUCGCGAGAGCAAGCGGACCUCACAAAGUGCGUCGUAGUCCGGAUCGGAGUCUGCAACUCGACUCCGUGAAGUCGGAAUCGCUAGUAAUCGUGGAUCAGAAUGCCACGGUGAAUACGUUCCCGGGCCUUGUACACACCGCCCGUCACACCAUGGGAGUGGGUUGCAAAAGAAGUAGGUAGCUUAACCUUCGGGAGGGCGCUUACCACUUUGUGAUUCAUGACUGGGGUGAAGUCGUAACAAGGUAACC
RNAcentral lists this ribosomal RNA (730 nucleotides) under uncultured bacterium. RNAcentral describes it as "bacterial SSU rRNA". It matches the Rfam family "Bacterial small subunit ribosomal RNA", at positions 771 to 1501 of the family's 1533-position model. The record is from RNAcentral.